RNAcentral lists this ribosomal RNA (495 nucleotides) under uncultured bacterium. RNAcentral's name for it is "bacterial SSU rRNA". It matches the Rfam family "Bacterial small subunit ribosomal RNA", at positions 34 to 507 of the family's 1533-position model. The record is from RNAcentral.
CGCUGGCGGCGUGCCUAAUACAUGCAAGUCGAGCGGAAUGAUGAAGAAGCUUGCUUCUUCUGAUUUUAGCGGCGGACGGGUGAGUAACACGUGGGCAACCUACCUUGUAGAUUGGGAUAACUCCGGGAAACCGGGGCUAAUACCGAAUAAAUCCAUUUUGCUUCAUGGCGAGAUGUUGAAAGACGGUUUCGGCUGUCACUAUAAGAUGGGCCCGCGGCGCAUUAGCUAGUUGGUAGGGUAAUGGCCUACCAAGGCGACGAUGCGUAGCCGACCUGAGAGGGUGAUCGGCCACACUGGGACUGAGACACGGCCCAGACUCCUACGGGAGGCAGCAGUAGGGAAUCUUCCACAAUGGACGAAAGUCUGAUGGAGCAACGCCGCGUGAGUGAAGAAGGUUUUCGGAUCGUAAAACUCUGUUGUAAGGGAAGAACACGUACGAGAGUAACUGCUCGUACCUUGACGGUACCUUAUUAGAAAGCCACGGCUAACUACGUG